This 407-nucleotide ribosomal RNA is filed under the name uncultured bacterium. Its description in RNAcentral is "partial 16S ribosomal RNA". It matches the Rfam family "Bacterial small subunit ribosomal RNA", at positions 28 to 526 of the family's 1533-position model. The record is from RNAcentral.
GACGAACGCUGGCGGCGUGCUUAACACAUGCAAGUCGAACGGAGUGGCGAACGGGUGAGUAACACGUGGGUGAUCUGCCUUGCACUUCGGGAUAAGCUUGGGAAACUGGGUCUAAUACCGGAUAGUGCAAGAUGAGCUCGCGGCCUAUCAGCUUGUUGGUGUGGUAAUGGCCUACCAAGGCGUCGACGGGUAGCCGGCCUGAGAGGGUGUACGGCCCCAGUGGGACUGCGUUACGGCCCAGACUCCUACUGGAGGCAGCAGUGGGGACUGUUGCACAAUGGGCGGCAUCCUGAUGCAGCGCCGCCGCGUUGGGGAUGAAGGCCUUCGGGUUGUAACCUCCUUUCGACAGGGACGCGGUACCUGUAUAAGAAGCACCGGCUAACUACGUGCCAGCAGCCGCGGUAUAC